This 1461-nucleotide ribosomal RNA is filed under the name uncultured prokaryote. RNAcentral's name for it is "partial 16S ribosomal RNA". It matches the Rfam family "Bacterial small subunit ribosomal RNA". The record is from RNAcentral.
UAACACAUGCAAGUCGAACGGUAACAGCAGAGCUUGCUCUGGCUGACGAGUGGCGGACGGGUGCGUAACGCGUGGGAAUUUACCUUGUAGUGGGGGAUAGCCCGGAGAAAUCCGGAUUAACACCGCAUAAUCUCUACGGAGGAAAAGGGGCCUCUUCUUGAAAGCUCCUGCUAUUAGAUGAGCCCGCGUUGGAUUAGCUUGUUGGUAGGGUAAUGGCCUACCAAGGCAACGAUCCAUAGCUGGUUUGAGAGGAUGAUCAGCCACACUGGGACUGAGACACGGCCCAGACUCCUACGGGAGGCAGCAGUGGGGAAUAUUGGACAAUGGGCGAAAGCCUGAUCCAGCAAUACCGCGUGUGUGAAGAAGGCCUGAGGGUUGUAAAGCACUUUCAAUAGAGACGAAAAGCCUGGGAUUAAUACUCCUGGGUCUUGACUUAACCUAUAGAAGAAGCACCGGCUAACUCCGUGCCAGCAGCCGCGGUAAUACGGAGGGUGCAAGCGUUAAUCGGAAUUACUGGGCGUAAAGCGCUCGUAGGCGGCUUGUUAAGUCGGAUGUGAAAGCCCCGGGCUCAACCUGGGAACUGCAUUCGAUACUGGCAAGCUAGAGUAUAGUAGAGGCAAGUGGAAUUCCGGGUGUAGCGGUGAAAUGCGUAGAGAUCUGAAGGAACACCAGUGGCGAAGGCGGCUCUCUGGACCAACACUGACGCUGAGGUGCGAAAGCGUGGGGAGCAAACGGGAUUAGAUCCCCCGGUAGUCCACGCCGUAAACGAUGUCAACUAGCCGUUUGGGCGGGUUUCCGCUUAGUGGUGCAGCUAACGAAAUAAGUUGACCGCCUGGGGAGUACGGCCGCAAGGCUAAAACUCAAAUGAAUUGACGGGGGCCCGCACAAGCGGUGGAGCAUGUGGUUUAAUUCGAUGCAACGCGAAGAACCUUACCUACCCUUGACAUCCAGAGAAUCUGUUAGAGAUAGUAGAGUGCCUUCGGGAAUUCUGUGACAGGUGCUGCAUGGCUGUCGUCAGUUCGUGUCGUGAGAUGUUGGGUUAAGUCCCGCAACGAACGCAACCCCUAUUGUUAGUUACCAGCGGAUAAUGCCGGGGACUCUAGCGAGACUGCCUGCGCAAGCAGUGAGGAAGGUGGGGACGACGUCAAGUCAUCAUGGCCCUUAUGCCCAGGGCUGCACACGUGCUACAAUGGAUGGUACAACGGGCUGCCACCCCGCGAGGGGGAGCGAAUCCACAAAGCCAUCCUCAGUUCGGAUCGGAGUCUGCAACUCGACUCCGUGAAGUCGGAAUCGCUAGUAAUCGCGUAUCAGCAACGACGCGGUGAAUACGUUCCCGGGCCUUGUACACACCGCCCGUCAAGCCAUGGAAGCCGGGGGCACCCGAAGCCCGUGACCCAACUUCGGAGGGAGAGCGGCCGAAGGUGAACUUAGUGACUGGGGCUAAGUCGUAACAAGGUAACC